AAGUGGACAAAAGAGGAGUGGGAA
Molecule: microRNA, 24 nt
Filed under: Prunus persica (peach)
Lineage: Eukaryota; Viridiplantae; Streptophyta; Magnoliopsida; Rosales; Rosaceae
Description: microRNA miRNA_58
Source: RNAcentral